This 1319-nucleotide long non-coding RNA is filed under the name Brassica napus (rape). RNAcentral describes it as "long non-coding RNA (BNAP_LNC013635)". The record is from RNAcentral. Lineage: Eukaryota; Viridiplantae; Streptophyta; Magnoliopsida; Brassicales; Brassicaceae.
UGCGUUAAUGCUGCUCUUAUUUUCUCAUUUUAACAUUCCACAUAAUCUUCUCUCUCGUCCACCUAAUUUAUUCAACACCCAUUUCAUUAUAAACCUCUACAAUGGUUUGUUUUACAAAAUUCAACACACUACUUCACAACUCUUAAUUCAUAUUUUUGUUUUUUACAACAUAAUAAUUACAUAUUAAUAAUUAACUUGAAAACUAAAAUAACAUAACUUUUAAUAAUAUUUAUUUUAAAUUAUUAUAUUUAGCUUAUUUUUAAAAAUGAUUAUUAUUAGAAUUCAUUUAACAAAAAAGGAAUAAAACAUUAAAUUAGUUGAUUAUAAAGAAAAAAGACAUUUUUUCCUGUAUCCAAAUGAAAUGAGCGUACUCUCUAUUUUAUAUAUUAAAAAUCUUGAAUUUUGAUAUAAUUUUGAUAUUUUUUAAAAGUUUUAUUAUGUAAUAAAUGCAUUUGAAUGAGUCAAUUAGCUAGGAAUCUAUUAAAAAGUUGGAAAUUUGCAAACUACCUAAAACAGUAAAUGUGUAAGAGCUACAACAACUAAAUAGCACAUAAAAUUACCUUUGAAGCCCUUUGGUAAAUUGCUCAUUUUCUAUAAAUUAUUAGCUUAUUUGAUUUCUAAAAAUUAAACAAAAAUCUCAUUUUCUCUCUCAUUGUCGGUGUCUUCUUCUCCAUCUUCUUCCUCUCCUCUCCUCUGCUUUUUUUUUUUUUUGAUGAAUCUAAAAAAUCCAAAAAAUAUAUUCCAAUAUAAUGGUCUAUAUAAUCAUUUGAUCACACCCACCCGUUCAUCACCAGUCUUGUAUAUGAUCAUGAGUUAUAUCUUGUGGAGUUCGGAAAUUCCUCGGAUCACUUCUUAGACAAACAAUAUGACUCUGUCGUAGAACUAGUUUGCGCACAAAGCGAGAAAAGAGCAAAGAUCCGUGCCGACGUUUGUAAAGUAUGAACUGAGAUUGUAAAGUAAGAACUGAGAUUGCGGGAAACAAUGAUAUUUAUCUUGAAUAUGUUGUUGUUGUUGUUGUGAGGGGUAUGGUGAGGAUGUAGCAAGCCUUUAUGAGCAGCAUCUAUAGAUAUCUUGGAAGAAUCAUAAAGGUUUACCUAAUCUAUUGCGGAUAAAUAAUCAAUCUCAUGGUGAGUGUAGUUAUAGUGUGAGUUACCCGCUAAACAAAUGAUUAGCUGGUUACAAUACUACUUGACAAGGAAAUGUAUGUAAUAUACAGUUAAUUUAACAAUUAUAAUGGAAACAAUAAAUUAAAUACCCGAUAAGUGAAUUUGUAUAUGUACAAUAAUCUGAAUAACUUGUACAAAAAUGUAUCAACAAGC